UUGAACGCUGGCGGCAUGCCUUACACAUGCCAGUCGAACGGCAGCACGGGUGCUUGCACCUGGUGGCGAGUGGCGAACGGGUGAGUAAUACAUCGGAACAUGUCCUGUAGUGGGGGAUAGCCCGGCGAAAGCCGGAUUAAUACCGCAUACGAUCUACGGAUGAAAGCGGGGGACCUUCGGGCCUCGCGCUAUAGGGUUGGCCGAUGGCUGAUUAGCUAGUUGGUGGGGUAAAGGCCUACCAAGGCGACGAUCAGUAGCUGGUCUGAGAGGACGACCAGCCACACUGGGACUGAGACACGGCCCAGACUCCUACGGGAGGCAGCAGUGGGGAAUUUUGGACAAUGGGCGAAAGCCUGAUCCAGCAAUGCCGCGUGUGUGAAGAAGGCCUUCGGGUUGUAAAGCACUUUUGUCCGGAAAGAAAUCCUUGGCCCUAAUACGGUCGGGGAAUGACGGUACCGGAAGAAUAAGCACCGGCUAACUACGUG
RNAcentral lists this ribosomal RNA (485 nucleotides) under uncultured bacterium. Its description in RNAcentral is "partial 16S ribosomal RNA". It matches the Rfam family "Bacterial small subunit ribosomal RNA", at positions 30 to 507 of the family's 1533-position model. The record is from RNAcentral.